Molecule: ribosomal RNA, 508 nt
Filed under: uncultured bacterium
Lineage: Bacteria
Description: bacterial SSU rRNA
Rfam family: Bacterial small subunit ribosomal RNA
Source: RNAcentral
GAAGCCAGCUUGCUGGGUGGAUUAGUGGCGAACGGGUGAGUAACACGUGAGCAACCUGCCCCGGACUCUGGGAUAAGCGCUGGAAACGGUGUCUAAUACCGGAUAUGAGCUCCUGCCGCAUGGUGGGGGUUGGAAAGAUUUUUCGGUUCGGGAUGGGCUCGCGGCCUAUCAGCUUGUUGGUGAGGUAAUGGCUCACCAAGGCGUCGACGGGUAGCCGGCCUGAGAGGGUGACCGGCCACACUGGGACUGAGACACGGCCCAGACUCCUACGGGAGGCAGCAGUGGGGAAUAUUGCACAAUGGGCGGAAGCCUGAUGCAGCAACGCCGCGUGAGGGAUGACGGCCUUCGGGUUGUAAACCUCUUUUAGCAGGGAAGAAGCGAAAGUGACGGUACCUGCAGAAAAAGCGCCGGCUAACUACGUGCCAGCAGCCGCGGUAAUACGUAGGGCGCAAGCGUUAUCCGGAAUUAUUGGGCGUAAAGAGCUCGUAGGCGGUUUGUCGCGUCUGCU